This is a long non-coding RNA of Drosophila willistoni, 2653 nucleotides long. RefSeq lists it as uncharacterized. Lineage: Eukaryota; Metazoa; Arthropoda; Insecta; Diptera; Drosophilidae. The record is from RefSeq and is a predicted model, not a curated record. The transcript is spliced from 4 exons.
AUCUUUGCCUGGAAUUGAAAGAAAAUAAGGAUUAAGCCAAAGGAUUUGAAACUUGGAAAUUAUAUAAAAAAAAGUUUCUGCAAUGCUCUAUAAUAGACAGGUCGUCCAUUUGUAUCCUGUAUGUCACGAUAGUUAUUGAUCAAAGGACGACUGCGCGAGUCCUUGAGAGUCCAGAGUUUCGCUAUCUGCCGCUCGGGAAAAUCAAGUAUGUCACUAAAGACAGUCCAAGUCACAGAUUCAGCGCAAUCGGGUGUCGUUAGAGAGCCUUGAAAGGUAUAAAAUUCGCCAGUGACGACAUCCCCCAACAGUUGGCCAACAUUCAAUUGCCCCGAAAUGGUCACAUUUGAAUUGUAUUCAACAAUGCGUGGCACUUGAUUGAAGAUCUUAUUGAGUCCAUAGAGCUGCGAAUUGGGACGUGACCGGGGAACAGCACGGAACAUUACACCCAAUACGGCUAAACCAUCCGGCUGUUGGGUGGCCUCACCCAUGGAUUCAUAACGUCUGUUCUUAUGCACAAUAUGCAUCUCGACAUCGUAACGCACAAAAUUAAUGGCAUGUUCUGAACCCUUGCUCGACCUAGAUCCCCAAUGGAAAUGAACACUUUGAACCUCGAAGUCUCCGGGCAGCAGGCCGCCAUUGAUAUAAGGACGUUGACCUCCUCGGGUCAAUGGUAAGACCAUGUUGGCUAAAGACUUAAAGUUCAGUUAAGAGUUUUGGUUGAGGAAAAGCCUUUUCACCUGUAUGUCCAUUGUUUGUGAGGACCAACGGAGUUCGCAGAGAUUGAUUAUAAUUGUUGAAACGUAUGCGGGGAAUGGAACUCAGCGUGGACUGUUGAAUUGACCAAAGAUCAAGUUAUUAAGAAAUCUUUUCGGGAAUAUUAACUCACAUCACUGAAUAUGAGAUCAAUGGGCGAUUGCCUCUGUCCAGUGUCACAGGUGCCAGUCCAAUCAGCUCCUUGAUGAUCGUAAUUAUAAUCACCAGCUGCAUCUUCGUCGGCUCGAUCUUGUCUUAUGGCAGUUAAAUAGUCAGCUGGGAUCUCUGCUUGAUAUUCAUGAAAUAUAAUUUAUACUAUAUAUGUAUAUUCCUAUGGGAAAACUCACCAAUCAGGGCCGACGAGCAGCUGAGUAUAGCCAAUGGCCACCAAAACCUUAAAACAAACAUCUUUUGCAACUAAGAACUCUUCUUUAUAUUUGACUCUUCUGUUUUCUGUUUGCUCCCGUUGAAGUUUCCAACUCGACUGUGACUUGUCUCGAGCCAAGCAGGACCAUUUAUACCUACCAGUCCAAUAAAAAUAACACAAAAAAAUUAUUAAAAAACGCAAGAAAAAAAAAAGAAAAAACAGAGCGACAACGACUUUUUCUAAUGACUUUCCUAGAAGCUGAUAAGCGAAGCCCUCCGUUGCAGUCCCUGUCCCCGUUCCCUCCUGCUUGCACCGCCCAGCCCUGUCUUAGGCCUAUUGCUAAAUUUACAUAGAGAUUGAAGCGCUGUUAGAGUUGCAAAACCAGCUCGACAAUUAACUUUUGCAAAGGCCGCCUCAUCCACACAUGUGAUUUUUCUUUCCGUUGCCAAUAAUUAAAGCCUGUUGCACAGGUUGAACGAUCCAAUAAAUAAGUAUAUCAUCUAGGACUUGAAGAUUUUAUAUCGAAUGAGGAGAUGAGCUAAAUAAUCCAAAGACUUAUGGCACAAUAUUUUAAAAGUUAGAAGGGCAGGCAAUUGACUCGAGACUGGGAUGAAACUCCUUUACCAUUACAAUGUUGCGGAUUUAUACUAAGAUGGCCAUAUGAUCUCAAAGGCUAUCAAUGAUUUUCACUCAGAUUGUAAAUAUUCAACUAACAGAUUUCUUUGGAACUCUAUAAACGUUUAUUAAAUCUGCUGACUGUGCUUUGUUGUUCCUAUCAAACUCUCUUGAAAUGUUUACUCAAACAAUAAGUGGACACUAUCACUUUAAUAUAUACAUAUCUAAGGUUUAACGUACAGUGCUGGCCACACAUUUAACAAUUUUUAUGCUAUCGUACAUAAACGUUGAUUUUUUAGAUUUCCGUGAAUUUUAAUGAAAACAUUUUGGACAAACUUGUUGUUUACAGUACUGUAUUUCUUAAAGCCCAAACUCAAGUAGAUUAAAUUUUCACUAGAAUGAGGAAGUGACUGGAACCGAAACAAAAGCAAUUAGAGCUAAUCUCCAAUUUGAUCCAGUAAACAGAAUAUAGUAAACAAAGGUGGUUUACUAUGGUCAAGAGAUGAAAGUAGCCUUGAAGUGGUAAACGGUUCUCUUAGUCAAUGUCACCUAAGAAAUUUGAUCGUCUGUAGGUUUAGGCCUGAGCCUCUGCCAAUAUAUUCAUCUUUCUCCUACCUGCUUUUAUGCAUAUAAUCUGGAUAGUGGAAGUUCCCUUUGUGUGUCAUAAAAAGAUUAUAUCGUAACGUGACAAAUUGUUAAUUUUAUGGUGUUCAAAUGAUAUUUACGUUUUCAGAUUUCUUCUCAUAAUAAAUUGCGCGUUUCACGCUUUAAAUUAAAGAGUUAUUAAUUAUUAUUAAUUUAUAAAAAGGCUGGAAUCCUUUUUUAAUAUCAAUAUUUUCAAUAUUUAAUUGAAUUCUUUGAAAAUAAGCAUACAUAAAUAGUUAAAAUUUAAAAUAAAUAUAAUUAUUUUAAUUAUUA